Molecule: unclassified non-coding RNA, 21 nt
Filed under: Chlamydomonas reinhardtii
Lineage: Eukaryota; Viridiplantae; Chlorophyta; Chlorophyceae; Chlamydomonadales; Chlamydomonadaceae
Description: small RNA Cre_3871
Source: RNAcentral
UUGAAGCAGCUACCGCUGGGC